Sorghum bicolor (sorghum) is the source of this 735-nucleotide long non-coding RNA. RefSeq lists it as uncharacterized. The transcript is spliced from 3 exons. NCBI's taxonomy places the organism in Eukaryota, Viridiplantae, Streptophyta, Magnoliopsida, Poales, Poaceae. The record is from RefSeq and is a predicted model, not a curated record.
GCACCCUCAUCCUGCACGGGCACACGCGCCGCCGCCCGCACCCUGCACGCCGCCGCCGCCCGCGCCGCUGCACCCCUUGCGCCGCCGCCGCCGACCAGAUCUGCCGCCGGCGGCCCCUGCCCCUGGCCCUGCCCCGCGCGCCCCUGGCCGAAGAUCCCGCUCAGCUCCUCCGCACCACCUCACCUCGCCUCCAGAUCUUGAGUUCGCGACCACCGCGCCAGCGCUCGCUCUUUCCGCUCCCCUGUUGGCACCAGUGACAUGGAUUCCGUCGGGUAGGCGCCAGCACCAAUUUCGGUGACCAAAUUUCGCCCUCCCUGCUCCCGGACUUGGUUCUUGACGACGGCAAGGAUUUUGUGUUGGUUUUGGCAGCAGAGCCUGAUCGAGCCCCCUUUGAGCAGGUUGCCGGAGGUUUCAGCAGUUUUGUCUGCAUAACAAGUGCUUCAUCGGAUUGAUCUGCUCUUUUCCCUUGGCUGAACGCUGCUAAAGUCAUUGCUGUUGGCCCUGGUGAUCGUGACAGGGAUGGUAAGCUGAUCCGUGUAUCUCUAAGUGAAGGCGACACUGUUCUGCUUUCGGAGUAUGGUGGAACAGAAGUGAAGCUUAGAAAGAGUAUGUUAACAUAUGCAUGUCAUUUUGACUUGGCACUAUAUUCUCUCUCCCCUUCCUUUUCUGUUGCUGUUGCUUUGUACACCUAAAUCAGAGAAUUCAAGAUCAGAACACCUGGAUAUUUGUCAUUGA